AGAGUUUGAUCAUGGCUCAGAUUGAACGCUGGCGGCGUGCCUAACACAUGCAAGUCGAGCGGUAACAGGUGUAGCAACACAUGCUGACGAGCGGCGAACGGGUGAGUAAUGCUUCGGAAUCUGCCCAAUGGUGGGGAAUAACCAGCCGAAAGGUUGGCUAAUACCGCAUAAGCCCUACGGGGGAAAGCAGGGGAUCGUAAGACCUUGCGCCGAUGGAUGAGCCGAAGCCGGAUUAGCUAGUUGGUAGGGUAACGGCCUACCAAGGCGACGAUCCGUAGCUGGUCUGAGAGGACGACCAGCCACACUGGGACUGAGACACGGCCCAGACUCCUACGGGAGGCAGCAGUGGGGAAUAUUGGACAAUGGGGGAAACCCUGAUCCAGCGACGCCGCGUGUGUGAAGAAGGCCUGCGGGUUGUAAAGCACUUUUAGUGGGGAUGAAAAGCUCAGGACUAAUACCUCUGGGUCUUGACCUAACCCACAGAAAAAGCACCGGCUAACUCUGUGCCAGCAGCCGCGGUAAUACAGAGGGUGCGAGCGUUAAUCGGAAUUACUGGGCGUAAAGCGUGCGUAGACGGUUAUGUAAGUCGGGUGUGAAAGCCCCGGGCUCAACCUGGGAAUUGCAUUCGAGACUGCAAAGCUAGGGUGCGGAAGAGGGAAGCGGAAUUUCAGGUGUAGCGGUGAAAUGCGUAGAUAUCUGAAGGAACACCAGUGGCGAAAGCGGCUUCCUGGUCCAGCACCGACGUUCAGGCACGAAAGCGUGGGGAGCAAACAGGAUUAGAUACCCCCGUAGUCC
Molecule: ribosomal RNA, 795 nt
Filed under: uncultured bacterium
Lineage: Bacteria
Description: bacterial SSU rRNA
Rfam family: Bacterial small subunit ribosomal RNA
Source: RNAcentral